RNAcentral lists this ribosomal RNA (553 nucleotides) under uncultured Nitrososphaerota archaeon. RNAcentral's name for it is "bacterial SSU rRNA". It matches the Rfam family "Archaeal small subunit ribosomal RNA", at positions 325 to 879 of the family's 1478-position model. Lineage: Archaea; Thermoproteati; Nitrososphaerota. The record is from RNAcentral.
ACGGGGUGCAGCAGGCGCGAAACCUUUGCAAUGUGCGAAAGCACGACAAGGUUAAUCCGAGUGUCUCCCGCUAAGGGAGUCUUUUGUCAGUUCUAGAACCACUGGUGAAUAAGGGGUGGGCAAGUACUGGUGUCAGCCGCCGCGGUAAAACCAGCACCUCGAGUGGUCAGGAGGUUUAUUGGGCCUAAAGCAUCCGUAGCCGGUUGCAUAAGUUUUCGGUUAAAUCUAUGCGCUUAACGUAUAGGCCGCCGAAAAUACUGUGCAGCUAGGGAGUGGGAGAGGUACACGGUACUCGAUAGGAAGGGGUAAAAUCCUUUGAUCUAUUGAUGACCACCUGUGGCGAAGGCGGUGUACCAGAACACGUUCGACGGUGAGGGAUGAAAGCUGGGGGAGCAAACCGGAUUAGAUACCCGGGUAGUCCCAGCUGUAAACGAUGCAGACUCGGUGAUGCAUUGGCUUGUGGCCAAUGCAGUGCCGCAGGGAAGCCGUUAAGUCUGCCGCCUGGGAAGUACGUACGCAAGUAUGAAACUUAAAGGAAUUGGCGGGGGAGCAC